GGGAGGCCGGGAGGGGUCCCUGGGCGGGGAGUUGCUGCGCAUCUGUUGUGUGUGUGCGUCUGUCUGUCUGUUCAGGUCUGUUUUAGGCUGUGUCUGCCUGUCUCUCUGUCUGGGUCUCUUUCAGGCUGCGUCGGUCUGUCUGUCUGGGUCUGUUUCAGGCUGUGUCUGUCUGUCUGUCUGGGUCUGUUUCAGGCUGUGUCUGUCUGUCUGUCCGGGUCUGUUUCAGGCUGUGUCUGUCUGUCUGUCCGGGUCUGUUUCAGGCUGUGUCUGUCUGUCUGUCCGGGUCUGUUUCAGGCUGUGUCUGUCUGUCUGUCUGGGUCUGUUUCAGGCUGUGUCUGUCUGUCUGUUUGUCUGGGUCUGUUUCAGGCUGUGUCUGUCUGUCCGGGUCUGUUUCAGGCUGUAUGUGUGUCUGCUCUUUGCUUCUGCUCCUGGCUCUGUGUGUAUUUCCCGGGUCCUGUGGCCCUCUUUGC
This 470-nucleotide long non-coding RNA is filed under the name Homo sapiens (human). RNAcentral's name for it is "HSALNT0395761". Lineage: Eukaryota; Metazoa; Chordata; Mammalia; Primates; Hominidae. The record is from RNAcentral.